GCAUGUGGUUUAAUUCGACGCUACGCGAAGAACCUUACCUGGGUUUGACAUGUUAGUAGUAAAAACCUGAAAAGGGGCUGACCCUGAGGUAACUCAGGGAGCUAACACAGGUGCUGCAUGGCUGUCGUCAGCUCGUGCCGUGAGGUGUUGGGUUAAGUCCCGCAACGAGCGCAACCCUUAUCCUCUGUUGGUCGUAAACGAUCUCUCUGGGGAAACUGCCGGCGAUGAGCUGGAGGAAGGUGGGGAUGACGUCAAGUCAGCAUGGCCCUUAUGUCCAGGGCGACACACGUGCUACAAUGGCUGCUACAGAGGGAUGCAAUACCGUGAGGUGGAGCCAAUCCUUAAAAGCAGUCUCAGUGGGGAUCGGAGUCUGCAAUUCGACUCCGUGAACGCGGAAUCGCUAGUAAUCAUGGAUCAGCCAUGCCAUGGUGAAUACGUUCCCGGGCCUUGUACACACCGCCCGUCACACCACGAAAGCCUGUUGUACCCGAAGCUGGGGAGUUAA
Molecule: ribosomal RNA, 505 nt
Filed under: uncultured Nitrospirota bacterium
Lineage: Bacteria; Pseudomonadati; Nitrospirota
Description: bacterial SSU rRNA
Rfam family: Bacterial small subunit ribosomal RNA
Source: RNAcentral